GAUGAACGCUGGCGGCGUGCCUAAUACAUGCAAGUCGAGCGAACGGACGAGAAGCUUGCUUCUCUGAUGUUAGCGGCGGACGGGUGAGUAACACGUGGAUAACCUACCUAUAAGACUGGGAUAACUUCGGGAAACCGGAGCUAAUACCGGAUAAUAUUUUGAACCGCAUGGUUCAUAAGUGAAAGACGGUCUUGCUGUCACUUAUAGAUGGAUCCGCGCUGCAUUAGCUAGUUGGUAAGGUAACGGCUUACCAAGGCAACGAUGCAUAGCCGACCUGAGAGGGUGAUGGGCCACACUGGAACUGAGACACGGUCCAGACUCCUACGGGAGGCAGCAGUAGGGAAUCUUCCGCAAUGGGGGAAAGCCUGACGGAGCAACGCCGCGUGAGUGAUGAAGGUCUUCGGAUCGUAAAACUCUGUUAUUAGGGAAGAACAUAUGUGUAAGUAACUGUGCACAUCUUGACGGUACCUAAUCAGAAAGCCACGGCUAACUACGUG
RNAcentral lists this ribosomal RNA (497 nucleotides) under uncultured bacterium. Its description in RNAcentral is "partial 16S ribosomal RNA". It matches the Rfam family "Bacterial small subunit ribosomal RNA", at positions 28 to 507 of the family's 1533-position model. The record is from RNAcentral.